This is a long non-coding RNA of Armigeres subalbatus, 553 nucleotides long. RefSeq lists it as uncharacterized. NCBI's taxonomy places the organism in Eukaryota, Metazoa, Arthropoda, Insecta, Diptera, Culicidae. The record is from RefSeq and is a predicted model, not a curated record. The transcript has 4 exons.
UCUCAAGAAAGUUGCGGCAGCUUCAGUCGUACCUCACUAUGGACCAACGCCAGGACAAGGCCCUAGCAGAUCGAGUGUUAAUGUUAUCGGAUUUGAUGAGCACCCACCGGAGAUGGAACAAUCUCUUCACACAGACAUCGAUUCCAGAGUGAAAGCUGACAUCAUUCUAGGAAAUGAACUAAGGAAAUAUAAUGCGUUGGUAGAUUCAGGCAGUGCGUGUAUUAGUGACAAUGCUUUCGACAACAGUGUUUGGGCCAACCGCCAUUUAAACUUUUCUCUAAAAGUCGGCGGCGAUGUUAAUUGAAAGAGUAAAAAGUUUAUUUGCCAAAAAGGAUGAAAAUGCAUAAGGAGCACGAUAUACACCUCAAAUUGGGAGAUUCAACUGCGAACCACAGAAAUGCUUCAAAAGGAACGUGCAGCCCCUUCGAAACAUGCCAAAAAUAACUGAUGAGAGAGCAGCAUAUCCUCUGGACAUGGACAAAGCGUCUGCAUCAUACAAAAAUCGUUUGAAAGCUUUUUUUAAAUUUUACCUACCAAACACUUGUGGAGAAAA